RNAcentral lists this ribosomal RNA (253 nucleotides) under uncultured bacterium. Its description in RNAcentral is "partial 16S ribosomal RNA". It matches the Rfam family "Bacterial small subunit ribosomal RNA", at positions 524 to 776 of the family's 1533-position model. The record is from RNAcentral.
UACGUAGGGGGCAAGCGUUAUCCGGAUUUACUGGGUGUAAAGGGAGCGUAGACGGUAAUGUAAGUCUGAUGUGAAAGCCCGGGGCUCAACCCCGGGACUGCAUUGGAAACUAUGUAACUAGAGUACCGGAGAGGUAAGCGGAAUUCCUAGUGUAGCGGUGAAAUGCGUAGAUAUUAGGAGGAACACCAGUGGCGAAGGCGGCUUACUGGACGGAAACUGACGUUGAGGCUCGAAAGCGUGGGGAGCGAACAGG